GAUGAAGAACGCAGCGAAAUGCGAUAAGUAAUGUGAAUUGCAGAAUUCAGUGAAUCAUCGAGUCUUUGAACGCACAUUGCGCCCCCUGGUAUUCCGGGGGGCAUGCCUGUCCGAGCGUCAUUGCUGCCCUCAAGCACGGCUUGUGUGUUGGGCCCCCGUCCCCGGUUUCCCCCGGGGACGGGCCCGAAAGGCAGCGGCGGCACCGCGUCCGGUCCUCGAGCGUAUGGGGCUUUGUCACUCGCUCUGUAGGCCCGGCCGGCGCCAGCCGACACCCAACUUUAUUUCUAAGGUUGACCUCGGAUCAGGUAGGGAUACCCGCUGAACUUAAGCAUAUCAAUAAGCGGAGGA
This 348-nucleotide unclassified non-coding RNA is filed under the name soil metagenome. RNAcentral's name for it is "partial contains 5.8S ribosomal RNA, internal transcribed spacer 2, and large subunit ribosomal RNA". The stretch from base 1 to 120 matches the Rfam family "5.8S ribosomal RNA", at positions 35 to 154 of the family's 154-position model. The record is from RNAcentral.